AUACUUACCUGGCAGGGGAGAUACCAUGAUCAUGAAGGUGGUUUUCCCAAGGCGAGGCAUACCUAUUGCACUCCAGAUGUGCUGACCCCUGCAAUUUCCUCAAAUUCAGGAAACUAGCCUGCAUAAUUUGUGGUAGUGGGACUGCGCUCAUGCUCUCCUCU
Peromyscus californicus insignis is the source of this 161-nucleotide small nuclear RNA. RefSeq annotates it as U1 spliceosomal RNA. The record is from RefSeq and is a predicted model, not a curated record. NCBI's taxonomy places the organism in Eukaryota, Metazoa, Chordata, Mammalia, Rodentia, Cricetidae. The transcript has a single exon.